This 3467-nucleotide long non-coding RNA is filed under the name Salmo salar (Atlantic salmon). RNAcentral describes it as "lncRNA (ENSSSAG00000112029.1)". The record is from RNAcentral. Lineage: Eukaryota; Metazoa; Chordata; Actinopteri; Salmoniformes; Salmonidae.
UUGUUUUAAAACGGUCACCAUGCUGGAUUUGGCAAUGCCAUACAAGAGAAUGAAUAGAUAUGACUUAGAAGGCUUGUUGGCGGUCACCCAUGUUGAAAGAUGGUGGUGGUGGUGGGGAAAGAAUGAGGGCACUAGCGGCUCCCUAAUGCCGCACCAGAAUGCAUCACUUUGGAAGUCUUUGGCCUCAAUAAGGGGGGGAAAGUAAAAAACGAGGCUGCAAGGGAAAAAUAACCACAUCGCAGAAGACUUUGUUGUUUGAUUGUGUUAGUUGGUUGAUUUGUUUUUAGCGAAAAAUGUAAAAGACAAAAAUCUAUUUUUAUUUUUUACUUUGUACAAGUACAGUAACUGAUGUACACUGAACAAAAAUAUAAAUGCAACAUGCAACAAUUUCAAAGAUUUUACUGAGUUACAGUUCAUAUAAGGAAAUCAGUCAAUUUAAAUAAAUUCAUUAGGGCCUAAUCUGUGGAUUUCACAUGACUGGGAAUACAGAUCUGCAUCUGUUGGUCACAGAUACCUUAAAAACAAAGGUAGCGGCAUGGAUCAGAAACCCAGUCAGUAUCUGGUGUGACCACCAUUUGCCUCAUGCAGCGCAACACAUCUUCACAUUGAGUUGAUCAGGUGGCCUGUGGAAUGUUGUCCCACUCCUCUUCAAUGGCUGUGCUAAGUUAUUGGCGGGAACUGGAACACGCUGUCGUACACGUCGAUCCAGAGCAUCCCAAACAUGCUCAAUGGGUGACAUGGCUGUUGAGUAUGCAGGUCAUGGAAGAACUGGGACAUUUUCAUCUUCCAGGUUUUGUGUGACAGAUCCUUGCGACAUGGGGCCAUGCAAUAUUAUGCUGAAACGGGAUAGCGCCGAAAGAAUGGCACGACAAUGGGCCUCUGGAUCUUGUCAUGGUAUCUCUGUGCUUUCAAAUUGCCAUUGUUAAAAUGCAAUUGUGUUCGUUGUCUGUAGCUUAUGCCUGCCCAUACCAUAACCCCACCGCCACCAUGGGGCACUCUGUUCACAACAUUGACAUCAGCAAACCGCUCGCCCACAUGACGCCGUAUGCCAUCUGCCCGGUGCAGUUGAAACUAGGAUUCAUCCGUGAAGAGCACACUUCUCCAAUGUUCCAAUGGCCAUCGAUGGUGAUAAUGUCCCCACUGAAGUCGGUUACGACGCCGAACUGCUGUCAGGUCGAGACCCUGGUGAGGACGACGAGCACGCAGAUGAGCUUCCCUGAGACAGUUUGUGCAGAAAAUCUUCGGUUGUGCAAACCCACAAUUUCAUCAACUGUCCAGGUGGCUGGGCUGAGACAUUCCCGCAGGUGAAGAAGCCGGAUGUGGAGGUCCUGGGCUGAUGGAGUUACACAUGGUCUGCGGUUGUGUGGCCGAUUGGACGUACUGCAAAAUUCUCUUGCAGGCGGCUUAUGGUAGAGAAAUUAACAUUCAAUUCUCUGGCAACAGCUCUGGUGGACAUUCCUGCAGUCAGCAUGCCAAUUGUACACUCCCUCAACUUGAGACAUCUGGGGCAUUGUGUUGUGUGACAAAACUCCACAUUUUAGAGUGGCCUUUUAUUGCCCCCAGCACAAGGUGCACCUGUGUAAUGAUCAUGCUGCUUAAUCAGCUUCAUGAUUUGACACACCUGUCAGGUGGAUGGAUUAUCUUGGCAAAGGAGAAAUGCUCACUAACAGGGAUGUAACACAUUUGUGCACAAAAUUUGAAAGAAAUAUGCUUUUUGUGCAUAUGAAAAAUUUGUGGGAUCUUUUAUUUCAGCUCAUGAAACAAGGGACCAACACUUUACAUGUUUCUUUUAUAUUUGUGUUCAGUAUAAUUACCUCAAACAAAACCUAUUUUACUGUAGAAAAGUUAUAUUGUUGUAAAAUAUAAUUAUUUUAUUUUGUGUAAAAUUUGACACGUUUUAUAAAAAGGAAAGUAAUAAGACAUGUCUUUUUUGUUGCUUUGAAUGGUUGGUUAAUAAUUUGUGGAUUUGUUGUUCCAUAAAUGUAGUUUUCUUUAGUUUGUUUUAUUUUACCUUACGGGCAUUUUUGCUUUCUAACAUAGAACAGAGGACAGUAAAUCAUGUUUGAAUCAUGAUUCAUGGGAGAUUUGAUUCAAUCGGGAAUCGAUUCAGUUCCUUUUGGUUCUUUACCUGUGAUUGUGAAACUUGGUGCGUGAUUCAAUCAAACUCGAAUUUCGGUGUUUAAGGAGUAGCUCUUUUUCCCCCAUGGUCAAAUGAAAUGCCAGAAUGGUUAUGGGAACUGUUAAAACCUACUACUACUACCAAGUAGACUCCUCUGACAAGUAGAUGAUUCCGUUUUCCACAAUAAGAAGUCUAUGCAUGGACAGUAGUUUGUAAACAAAGGCACAGCUGUAAACAUUCCCAUAGCAAGUUGGAUUAAAUGCCAGACCUUGAGGAAUUGAGGACUCUGAUAAAUGGCACCCUACAAAAGUAGUGCACUAUAUAGGGACUAGGGUACAAUUUGGGACGUGGACAAACUGUCACUCAUGAAUUUUUUAUUUUCUUCAUUUAUUACAUCUUAACGUAGGUAAUAUAUAGUCUAAAGGAGGGGUUUCUUUGUCAUAUUAAUGCCUACUUACGACUCCCUAGCCUAGUUCCAAAUCAGUUUGUGCUGUCUUGCAAAGUCCUUGUGAGUCAUGACUCGUGACCAUAGGAGUUAGCUUGAGUGUCUUUCAGGGGGCGUUCUGUCCAGGGGGUGUACUUUUACAACCACCUGCCUCACCCUACUGAAAUAGGAGAUGGGCUCUUGCCCUAUGGGAUGUCCUGGCUCAGAUGAGGCUUACUUUCUGUUCAUGCCAUAACGAGCAGAAACAGACUUGCACCCAGACUACAUGGGAGUUUUGGCAAGACAACACAAAUCGAUGUGGGAUCCGGGCUGUACUACUCCCUCUCAUGUAUGAGUGCUCCACUGUUGAUUGUUUUGACCGGCUCUUGUUGUGUAAAUAAUGCUGAUUAAAUUAAUUUAAAGAUUUCUCACUUUAAAAAAAAAAUGGAUUGAUUCUUUCAUUCAAAUUCUUGUGGUAAUUUAUCCUUUAUUUAUUCAGGAGAUCAUAAGGAAAUGUGCAAAAUAUCUUAUGUAAUGUCUGCUGAUGUGAAAAUUGUGGAUCGGAGAAGAUUGUGAAUAUUCAGAGCUUGUCCCAUCAUAGCAUAUCUCAGCCCUAAAUAUAACCGAAGCACCAGUUCACGUCUCCUUAGGAUAUUGGAAUUGGUCCAAAAUGCUUGUUUUAUACAUUAUAGCUGCAUUUAAAUGAGAUAUUUUCUAGCUCCCUGGAAUCGAUUCCUACUAAGAAUGACAUUCAGACUACUGAACGUUCACUAGGUCUAUUCCAUUAGUGGGGUUGUUCCACGAAAUGAGUCACUUUGGCAUGUCCCUCUGUGCACCCUCUGUGACUUCUAGGAAGAUUUUAACCGAAAUUUCACUCGUUGUUGAGCCCUAGUUAUUUUGUUGUUUUGACAAAGUAAUAUCUGG